This 372-nucleotide ribosomal RNA is filed under the name uncultured bacterium. Its description in RNAcentral is "bacterial SSU rRNA". It matches the Rfam family "Bacterial small subunit ribosomal RNA", at positions 524 to 898 of the family's 1533-position model. The record is from RNAcentral.
UACGAAGGAUCCAAGCGUUGUCCGGAUUUACUGGGUUUAAAGGGUGCGUAGGCGGGCUAUUAAGUCAGUGGUGAAAGCCGAUCGCUUAACGAUCGAACUGCCAUUGAAACUGAUAGUCUUGAGUAUGUUUGAGGUUACUGGAAUAUAACAUGUAGCGGUGAAAUGCUUAGAUAUGUUAUAGAACACCAAUUGCGAAGGCAGGUAACUAAGUCAUAACUGACGCUGAGGCACGAAAGCGUGGGGAGCAAACAGGAUUAGAUACCCUGGUAGUCCACGCCCUAAACGUUGAAUACUCGGUCUUGGCGAUAUACAGUCAGGGCCCAAGCGAAAGCGUUAAGUAUUCCACCUGGGAAGUACGUUCGCAAGAAUGAA